GAGUGUAUAACUCAGUGGUAGAGCUUGUGGUUAGCAUACACAAGGUCCUGGGAUCACUCCCCAGUACCUCU
RNAcentral lists this transfer RNA (71 nucleotides) under Camelus bactrianus (Bactrian camel). It matches the Rfam family "tRNA". From Rfam's summary of the family: Transfer RNA (tRNA) molecules are approximately 80 nucleotides in length. Their secondary structure includes four short double-helical elements and three loops (D, anti-codon, and T loops). RNAcentral also lists the same sequence under 2 other names. The record is from Rfam by way of RNAcentral. Lineage: Eukaryota; Metazoa; Chordata; Mammalia; Artiodactyla; Camelidae.